This 446-nucleotide ribosomal RNA is filed under the name uncultured bacterium. Its description in RNAcentral is "partial 16S ribosomal RNA". It matches the Rfam family "Bacterial small subunit ribosomal RNA", at positions 338 to 795 of the family's 1533-position model. The record is from RNAcentral.
CCUACGGGAGGCAGCAGUAGGGAAUUUUCGGCAAUGGGGGGAACCCUGACCGAGCAACGCCGCGUGAACGCAGCAGUUAUUCGUAAUGUCACGUUCUUUUAACCUUGAAGAAAGAGAAAUUUGACGGUACCUGAAGAAUAAGCUCCGGCUAACUACGUGCCAGCAGCCGCGGUAAGACGUAGGGAGCGAGCGGUAUCCGGAAUUAUUGGCCGUAAAGGGUGCGUAGAUGGCAUAGUAAGUCUUUUGUAAAAAUGCUGGUCUCAACCCGGGAGGGCAAAAGAUACUGCAAGGCUAGAGUAUGACAGAGGCAAGUGGAACUAAAUGUGUAGCGGUAAAAUGCGUAAAUAUAUGUAAGAACACCAGUGGCGAAGGCGGCUUGCUGGGUCGAUACUGACAUUGAGGCACGAAAGCGUGGGGAGCAAACAGGAUUAGAGAACCUAGUAGUC